This 450-nucleotide ribosomal RNA is filed under the name uncultured bacterium. RNAcentral's name for it is "partial 16S ribosomal RNA". It matches the Rfam family "Bacterial small subunit ribosomal RNA", at positions 28 to 523 of the family's 1533-position model. The record is from RNAcentral.
GAUGAACGCUGGCGGUAUGCCUAACACAUGCAAGUCGAACGGGCUUUUCGGAGCUAGUGGCGGACGGGUGAGUAACGCGUGAGAAUCUGCCUUCGGAUGGGGAUAACAGGGAGAAAUCGCUGCUAAAACCCAAUGUGCCGAAAGGUGAAAUACUUGUAGCCAGAAGAGGAGCUCGCGUCCGAUUAGUUAGUUGGUGGGGUAAGAGCCUACCAAGGCAGCGAUCGGUAGCUGGUCUGAGAGGAUGAGCAGCCACACUGGGACGGAGACACGGCCCAGACUCCUACGGGAGGCAGCAGUGGGGAAUUUUCCGCAAUGGGCGAAAGCCUGACGGAGCAAUACCGCGUGAGGGAGGAAGGCUUUUGGGUUGUAAACCUCUUUUGUUAAGGAAGAAGAAAGUGACGGUACUUAAAGAAUAAGCAUCGGCUAACUCCGUGCCAGCCGCCGCAGUAA